Molecule: small nucleolar RNA, 131 nt
Organism: Acomys russatus (golden spiny mouse)
Lineage: Eukaryota; Metazoa; Chordata; Mammalia; Rodentia; Muridae
Product: small nucleolar RNA SNORA33
Exons: 1
Source: RefSeq, a predicted model, not a curated record
GAGCCAGCCAAUUGGUCUACUUGUCUGAAUGCAUUUCUGCGGACAUUUAGAAAAAGCUGGUAGUGCUAGCACCAUGUUUCUAGCCUUAAUGGCAAGUAAAGUAUUUAAGGUCCUCAAAAUUGGCUAUAAUA